Pteropus alecto (black flying fox) is the source of this 1809-nucleotide long non-coding RNA. RefSeq lists it as uncharacterized. The transcript has 2 exons. The record is from RefSeq and is a predicted model, not a curated record. Lineage: Eukaryota; Metazoa; Chordata; Mammalia; Chiroptera; Pteropodidae.
AAUAAUUAUCGUACUUGUUUUUAUUCAUGUUCUUUAAAUGUGUGUAUAGCUCGCAUUUAUUUCAAUGUUCAGUAUUAGAAGUGUUUUGGGUCUUUAUGUAGAACGUUGGUGAUGUUUUCGUGACCAGAAAUACACUGUGGGAACUUAACUCUUGUUUAGGACAAUUAACUCAUGGUGAAAUUGGUGUUGUUUUACAUCGUUUCACGUAAAGUCGCAGUGAGGAUGUUAAGUGAGGACUUAUUGUGGACGUUUUACCUCCCCUGAGAUGGAAUUUCAACUGUUUAGAUAGUGAGUGAGUAUGUUUGGCUCCAAAUCUGGCAGAAAUCAAAGUAUCCGUUUGUACAGGUCAGCAAGACCCAGUUAAGAGAAUGUAAUGAUUUAUUAAACCGGCCUUCCCAAGAAGAUAAACUGGCUGAGUCAGUAAUAGCCUCGAGGGGUCUUAGAAGGAAACAGGCACUGAGCCAUGUGGAUCUCCUUCUCUUCUGCUGUAUCCGCCUUGAAAGAGAGACAGAUGAGCAACCGCUUGUGCUCUGAGAGAUGAGCGGGGGAACUUCACGAGAGAUGUCCUGGGUUGUGCUCUGGGGCUGCACCGUUGACAUUAGACCGCACUGGGGGAUGGUGGCCCUCACCCCUCACCCCUCACCUGACCGGGCCUCUACCAGUGGUGGGAAGCGGGAAGACCCUACCACUGAGCUGUGGUCUAAGACAGCCGGUCUCAGAUCUUACCCAGCACCAGAAUCAUCUGGAGGGGUGAUCCACAUCCUGGGCAGGAUGGAGAGGGAUGGCAUGUGAUUUCAUCACGCUCCUCAGAACGGCAUGCGAUUUAAAACUUACGAAUUGUUUAUUUCUGGAAUUACCCAUUUAGACCGUGGUUGACCAGAGGUAACAGAAACCACAGAAAGCGAAACCGUGGAGAAGGGGUGGGAGACCGCUCGCUGUAGGUUGGUGAUGAUGAAAACUAGCCUCUGAAGUAAUAUGGCAGCAUCGAUGGCGGUUCUCGACAAAGAGGCAACUAUUCCAAAAAGGUGUCCAUCAGCUAAGUUCCCGCCCACAGGUUUUCUCCGGAAGUUCCCAGGGCUGAUUGUGGUCCUUGGGCUCUUCUGUCUACAGACUAAGCCAUGAGCAUUUUAUGAGCAGGAGCCUUGCCAGUGUUAUUUGUAACACGAGGCCAGAACAGUGCCUGGCUCUCUAAAGGUUUUCGUGAGUGUUUCUUGGAUGAAGAGUCAGUGAUUUGGAAACUCGAAAAAGCGAAUCCCCAGCAGUCUGGGCAACAGCUCUUGGGGGAAACAGAACCAAAGCAAUCUGGGUAUUUGUGAGCUGGUCGGGAACAUGACUUGUUGCCAUGGAAGAAAACGAACACUAGAUUUCACAUAGAGGCGCCCAGAAAUUGUUUCCUGGCAGAGUGCCUCUUCGGGGCUGUGGCUGGAGAGGUGGUAACAGCCCCAGGAGGGCACCAUCGGGGCUGUUGUGUUCACCGCUUUGUGCCCUGAGCCUGGCACAGAGUCUGGCACUGUAACUGCUCCAAAUGUUUGUUGAAUAAACAAUGGGCCAUAGGGGGCUUCAGCUUAGGCAAGAGUUGGGCUGAGGUUUGGGGGUGCUGCAGACACCAAUAGAUAGUAAUUGUAAUUCAACUCUCUACAUCUGCAUAAGGGAAUGUACCGUUUUAUUUGCAUAAGAAAAGCUCCCUCUCCAGAUGAAUCAAUGCUGGGAAUUCUAAACUGGAUGCAAGAAUACAUUUUCAGGUAAAGGGGUAUAUUUUUGUCAUGGCAAAGUGUGAAGAACACAAUAAAAACGGCUGUAAUUCUGCCA